GGUUUUUUGAUUUUUAAUGAAAAAUCUGACCUGCCCAAUGAUAAUUAAAUGGCCGCGGUAUUUUGACCGUGCGAAGGUAGCAUAAUCAUUAGUCUUUUAAUUGAGGACUGGAAUGAAUGGUUGGACGUAAUAAUGACUUUUUUAAUUUUAAAUAUUGAAUUUUACUUUUUGGUGAAGAGGCCAAAAUAAUACCAAAAGACAAGAAGACCCUAUUAAGUUUUAUUAGUAGUAUAUUUAUAAUUAGAGGUGAUAUUUAAAUAUGCAGUAAUUUUGCUGGGGCGGUAAGUUAAGACCAAUUAUGAUCCAUAAGUUAUGAUUAUUUGUUUAAAUUACUAUAGGGAUAACAGCGUAAUCUUAUUUGAGAGUUCAUAUCGACAAUAAGGGUUGCGACCUCGAUGUUGGAUUAGAAUACCUUUUUGGAGCAGAGUCUAAAAGUGGUGGUCUGUUCGACCAUAGAAAUUCUACA
This 466-nucleotide ribosomal RNA is filed under the name Dendrothereua sp. MCZ DNA107050. RNAcentral's name for it is "partial large subunit ribosomal RNA". It matches the Rfam family "Bacterial large subunit ribosomal RNA", at positions 1819 to 2600 of the family's 2925-position model. The record is from RNAcentral. Lineage: Eukaryota; Metazoa; Arthropoda; Chilopoda; Scutigeromorpha; Scutigeridae.